RNAcentral lists this non-coding RNA (122 nucleotides) under Corynebacterium sp. Its description in RNAcentral is "TPP sequence". It matches the Rfam family "TPP riboswitch aptamer (THI element)". Rfam says of the family: Vitamin B(1) in its active form thiamin pyrophosphate (TPP) is an essential coenzyme that is synthesised by coupling of pyrimidine and thiazole moieties in bacteria. The previously detected thiamin-regulatory element, thi box was extended, resulting in a new, highly conserved RNA secondary structure, the THI element, which is widely distributed in eubacteria and also occurs in some archaea. Lineage: Bacteria; Bacillati; Actinomycetota; Actinomycetes; Mycobacteriales; Corynebacteriaceae. The record is from RNAcentral. RNAcentral also lists the same sequence under 1 other name.
UUACAAAACCACGGGAGUGCCAACCGAAAUUCCGGCACUGAGAGGACGCUAGGGAUCGAGCGUCGACCGGACGAACCUGAAUCUGGGUAAUACCAGCGUAGGAAAGGGAUGUGUUGCUUCAU